Molecule: ribosomal RNA, 460 nt
Filed under: uncultured bacterium
Lineage: Bacteria
Description: partial 16S ribosomal RNA
Rfam family: Bacterial small subunit ribosomal RNA
Source: RNAcentral
CCUACGGGCGGCAGCAGUGAGGAAUAUUGGUCAAUGCGCUUACGCCUGAACCAGCGACGUCGCGUGAGGGAAGACUGCCCUCUGGGUUGUAAACCUCUUUUGUCAGGGAGCAAUUGGCGCUAAGUGUAGCGUUAUCGAGAGUCCCUGAAGAAAAAGCAACGGCUAGCUCGGUGCGAGCAGCCGCGGUAAUACGGAGGAUGCGAGCGUUAUCUGGAUUGAGUGGGUUGAAAGGGUGCGUAGGCGGAAUGCAAAGUCAGCGUUAAAAUCGCGGGCCUAAAACUAGCUACGCCGGUGAAACUGGCAUUCUUGAGUGUGCGAGAGGUAUGCGGAAUGCGUGGUGUAGCGGUGAAAUGCGUAGAUAUCAGGAGGAACUCCGAUUGCGAAGGCAGCAUACCGGCUGCCAACUGACGCUGAAGUGCGAAAGCGUGGGUAGCGAACAGGAUUAGAUACCCCUGUAGUC